This 640-nucleotide long non-coding RNA is filed under the name Homo sapiens (human). RNAcentral's name for it is "HSALNT0077343". The record is from RNAcentral. Lineage: Eukaryota; Metazoa; Chordata; Mammalia; Primates; Hominidae.
UUCCUGAUUUCUAAUAAUCAACUGCUAUAGGAUGUUGGGGCUCAGAAAACAAAACCCCAGAGUGAAGGGUUUGACAAAAGGGUCAAAGUGCAAGUCUUGUCCAGGAGGAAGUAGAUAAUUCUGUGUAAUGAGAGAAUAAAAUAGGAGUAAGGAGUUGCAGGAGACCUGGACUGGGCAUUCCUAUUGAAGGAAGAUUAUGAAUAUUGUUCGUGCCAAGCCAAGAACUAAAGACUUUCUGUUAUAAGCCUAUAGAGAUUAAGAAUUUAAUUAAGAAGCAGCAGAACUUGUAGUUGGCACAACCCCCAGCAAACAUGGUAGAAAAAAACACCACUGAGCAGGAAAGCCAACUGCAACCAGCAACCAUCCCCAAAAAUGCAGUAUAAAAGAAACCUGGAGAGAAAAAUCUGGCACACUGGAGAGACCACUCAACCCUCAGGGGGAAUGCACAAAAAGUAACAGGCAAAUGCAGCUGAUAUGCAACAUGGGAAGAUAAACAUGAGCUUUCCCAUACACCUCUGGCAACUAUGCAAUUAUCUCAGGCUCCAUUGCUACUCAGGGUAUGAUCCAUGCGGGUUCUUCAAGACAUGCUCAGCUACUAAAACCUAUCAGUCUGCAGACUGUUUCCAAGAAGAUAUUUUAC